Molecule: long non-coding RNA, 917 nt
Filed under: Homo sapiens (human)
Lineage: Eukaryota; Metazoa; Chordata; Mammalia; Primates; Hominidae
Description: long intergenic non-protein coding RNA 2286
Source: RNAcentral
AUUGUUCUAUUCAUCAUGACCUCAUAGAGCCUUUUCUUUUUCUCAGGUCUCAUUUACUUCCUCUUUUUUUUUUCCUUUUCCUUUUCCUAUACCUUCCUUUGGUCCUUAUAAGUAUCCAAAUUGCCCUAAAAUAACUUCUGCACAUGCAGCAUUAGGAAGCAGUGUUUCCCAACCACUACAUUUGAAUGAUUCAUUCCUCUGAGGACCCUCAAGUACUUCAGAAGAACUAAAAAAUGAAUAUCACGUUACACCAAAGAAGAAAUGAAAGCUGCCAGUGUCUUCUGAAGUUAAACAGGCUCCUGUUCUUUGACCCAGCAAUCCAAUCCUAGGUAUUUAAUUGUUCCCUGAGGUUUAAGGCAGUGGACUGAGGAUAAUACAGGCUCCAGCUUUCAUUAGUUCAAUGGAUGAUGCUGUUCAAUCCAUACUGUUUGGGGCAUUUGUUGAAAAUGUCAUUCAGAAGAUAUCAACACUUUCUGAGUCAUGGUUUGAUUGAAUUUAUAGAAUUAUGUGAUAGAAACCACAUUCUUCACAAAAGUCACAAGGCAAUAAUGACGACAAGGGUUGAAGAUGAAAGAUGCCAAAUAUUCUGAUCAAUUCAAUAAGGCAAAAAGACAAGUUAAUUCACUCAGUGCUCCAGGCAUCAACUUCAUAGAAGGAAUGGAAAUUCUACCUGUUUCCUAAAGAACUACAGAGGUGUACACCAAACGGAGGGCAAAUGCUGUUACCACUCAUCGUGCAAGACUUUUGAGGCAAUUUGGACAUAGACAAGUGAUGGGAAAAUUGAAUCAUUAUAUGGCUCAUGACAGUGUUGAAAACUCAAACAUCCAAGGACCUGUACCUUUGCUAAGUGCCAUGCAUAUGUUGCUGAUAAAGAUGCAAUAAAUACUCUUUUGUUAAAUUAUACUUAUUAUUUCUCA